Betta splendens (Siamese fighting fish) is the source of this 552-nucleotide long non-coding RNA. RefSeq lists it as uncharacterized. The record is from RefSeq and is a predicted model, not a curated record. The transcript has 2 exons. NCBI's taxonomy places the organism in Eukaryota, Metazoa, Chordata, Actinopteri, Anabantiformes, Osphronemidae.
GUAAUGUAUAUUGUUACAUCAGAGAAGGUUGUGGCCUACAUUUCACUAAUCUAUAAUUCUGUUUGCAGUACCUUUUUUGAAGAGUGUCAUGGUGAGGACAGCCGCAGCCUCCUUCUGCCAUACCUGUCCAGGCUGCAGAAACAAAUCUCCAACAUAACCAAGUUUACCACCUACCCAGGACAUGGUCUGGUCACCGUACUUCUAUCCAGCAAGCACUUCCACAGCAAGGACCUGCAAAAGCCUCUGUCCUCAAACCCCCAGGCUUCUCAACUCACUUAGUAACCUAUACAUUGUACAUUAGAGUGUGGACAAAAGUUUCUUCCUGCUUUGGAGUACUGGCGCAUUUUCUGAUUGGCAAUAAAGUUGGCUUUAACAAUUACAUAUUUUACUGAACUCUUAUUUUAAGAGGGAAAAAAAAAAACUUGUACUUGUAUUCAGGAAAACAUAAUAUUGAAAUUACAUGUAUUUCUUUUUCUUAUAUGGUUAGCUAUAAAGGUGAAAAAAAUCUAUUGCUUAGAAAGAUUGCAAAAACAAAAAAACACAUUUCUAUUA